UCGUGGAUCAAUGAAUCCCUUCAGGGGUGGAUUAAGUAGGUGAACGGGUGAGUAACACGUGGGCAAUCUGCCCUUCACUCUGGGACAAGCCCUGGAAACGGGGUCUAAUACCGGAUACGACCUGCCUCCGCAUGGGGGUGGGUGGAAAGCUCCGGCGGUGAAGGAUGAGCCCGCGGCCUAUCAGCUUGUUGGUGGGGUAAUGGCCUACCAAGGCGACGACGGGUAGCCGGCCUGAGAGGGCGACCGGCCACACUGGGACUGAGACACGGCCCAGACUCCUACGGGAGGCAGCAGUGGGGAAUAUUGCACAAUGGGCGAAAGCCUGAUGCAGCGACGCCGCGUGAGGGAUGACGGCCUUCGGGUUGUAAACCUCUUUCAGCAGGGAAGAAGCGCAAGUGACGGUACCUGCAGAAGAAGCGCCGGCUAACUACGUGCCAGCAGCCGCGGUAAUACGUAGGGCGCAAGCGUUGUCCGGAAUUAUUGGGCGUAAAGAGCUCGUAGGCGGCUUGUUGCGUCGGAUGUGAAAGCCCGGGGCUUAACCCCGGGUCUGCAUUCGAUACGGGCAGGCUAGAGUGUGGUAGGG
This 583-nucleotide ribosomal RNA is filed under the name Streptomyces sp. RNAcentral's name for it is "bacterial SSU rRNA". It matches the Rfam family "Bacterial small subunit ribosomal RNA", at positions 62 to 656 of the family's 1533-position model. Lineage: Bacteria; Bacillati; Actinomycetota; Actinomycetes; Kitasatosporales; Streptomycetaceae. RNAcentral also lists the same sequence under 1 other name. The record is from RNAcentral.